This 257-nucleotide ribosomal RNA is filed under the name uncultured bacterium. RNAcentral describes it as "partial 16S ribosomal RNA". It matches the Rfam family "Bacterial small subunit ribosomal RNA", at positions 524 to 777 of the family's 1533-position model. The record is from RNAcentral.
UACGUAGGGGGCAAGCGUUGUCCGGAAUCAUUGGGCGUAAAGAGCGCGUAGGCGGCCCAGUAAGUCCGCUCUGAAAGUCAGGGGGCUCAACCCCUGAAUGCGGGUGGAUACUGCUGGGCUAGAGUCCGGAAGAGGCGAGUGGAAUUCCUGGUGUAGCGGUGAAAUGCGCAGAUAUCAGGAGGAACACCAACGGCGAAGGCAGCUCGCUGGGGACGGUACUGACACUGAGGCGCGAAAGCUAGGGGGAGCAAACGGGG